AAAAAUAAGAAAUAGGGUGUGGAAGCUUUCAAACUUUCGGCCUUGAUUUAGUGAGUUCAAUUUAGUCAUUUUAUUGUAAUUUUUAUAUUUUUGAGGUCAUGAGAGCUUGAUUUAGCUAGCUCAUGUACCAAUUUGUAAAACUGUUAAAUUUUUUUGAAAGUUUCCAUUGCUGAUUUCUUGAAUAAAUUGGUGUUAAUUUGUUAAAUUUUAAGCUUAGAUGUGAAAAAUGACUAGAUUGUAAUGUUUAGUUAUUAGUUUUUGAACUUAAGGACUAGAGUGUAUAAAUUAUGAACUUGAUUUGAAAUUUCUAUAAUAAUAGAUAUUAGAGGGUCAUAGAAGGAUAUGGUUGAGAUCGAUUUCAAAAUCGAAGCUCAAAAUUGAAAGUUAUGACUAUUUCAAUUUUAAAGACUAAAUUGGAUAAAAAUGCAAAACUUUAGGAUUAUUCAAAAAAUGAAAUUAAACUAGUUCAUGCCUAGUAUGAGAUGAUAUAAAAGUGUUUGAUAUUGAUAAAUUGAAUUGAAUAAUUGUAUAGAUAGGAAAUUGAACCAAAUUGGAGAUAAUCGGGGAAAAGCCAAAAUUAUCGAUUAGUCUUUGCAAAUUCAACUUGUUGGCUAAUUUGACCAGGUAAAUUCAUAUGGUAUGAUUAUGUUUAAAUUUUUGUGUAUUUUAAUUAUGAAUAUGUGUAUGUUUGGUUGAAAUUUGGAUUAUUUGUGAUUUGGUAUAAAAGGUGAGAUUGGGACUAAAUUGUAAAGAAAUGUAUUUAUAUAUAUGUCUGUGUGUUGAAAAUGUUUGGGUGAACUUGGUAAAGGUUUUGUGCACACUUGUAUGAAUUGAUUACCGAUGAUUACCAAAAUCUAACAUUUUUCGCGGACUCGAAGAUACAUGUGACACAAGUUUAGCCUGGAAUGGUAACUUGACAUCGAAAAUUGAACCUUUAAUGACACAUUUGAUUGCUUGGUUAGCUUGGACGAGCAAUUGAUGUAUCGAAGAUACUUGUGACACAAGUUUAGCCUGGACUGGUAACCUGAUGUCAAUUUAAAGGUUUAGCUCAGAUGAGUAACUUGACAUGUGUAUAUAUAUAUUCAGCUCGGGUAAUUGGUAUAAUAGGAUAUUUGUGUAUGAUAUGAAUUUGAUGUUCAAAUAGUUAAAUGUUGAAUUGAUUAUGAAUGUAGUAUUGAAAAGUUGAUUUUAGUGGAUUGAAAUGAUAUAUGUUUGAAUUACCAUUUGAUGUGACUAUAUGUUAAACUCACUUUAUUGAUAUGUGAUACCAUGUUUAGGCAAAUAUUGCCAAUCUAAGUAGCUUAUUUGAUUAGUUGUAAUAUGAGGUAAGUUUUUGUUUAAUGCAUAUGAACUUACUAAGCAUUCAAUAUGCUUACCCCAUUAUUUUUUCCCUUUUCCUAUGGAUUUCAACUUGCGGAACGUGUCUAGCAGAUCGUCCAGAAGCUCGCACUAUCCUGUUUUUAAAUUGGUAGCUUUUCAAUCAUUUUAAGUUCGAUUUUGUAGAAUGUAUAUAGGUGUUUGAAUAAGUUAACUUGAAAUGAUAAAUGUUAGCUUGCAACCUUUAUAAUGCUUGAUUUUGGUAAGGUUAAUGCUUAUAUGAAAUGUUAAGUUUUUGGCAAAGUUAGUGCCUAAUUGAAUGUAUAUGAUUUGGUAAACAUGUUUGAUACAUGUAUGUGAC
Molecule: long non-coding RNA, 1678 nt
Filed under: Gossypium raimondii (Peruvian cotton)
Lineage: Eukaryota; Viridiplantae; Streptophyta; Magnoliopsida; Malvales; Malvaceae
Description: long non-coding RNA (GRAI_LNC004825)
Source: RNAcentral